CCCCCCCCACCAAGGCUCUGCCACACACACACACACACACACACUGCAUCACACACACACACACACACACACACUGCAUCACACACACACACACACACACUGCACUCAUAUACACACACUGCACUCAUACACACACACUGCACUCAUACACACACUGCAUUUAUGCACACACACUGCAUUCAUACACGCACACUGCACUCAUACACACACACUGCGCACUCAUACCACACUGCAUUUAUGCACACAC
Molecule: non-coding RNA, 247 nt
Organism: Pelobates cultripes (western spadefoot toad)
Lineage: Eukaryota; Metazoa; Chordata; Amphibia; Anura; Pelobatidae
Source: the annotation of a GenBank genome assembly